Molecule: transfer RNA, 91 nt
Filed under: Exilibacterium tricleocarpae
Lineage: Bacteria; Pseudomonadati; Pseudomonadota; Gammaproteobacteria; Cellvibrionales; Cellvibrionaceae
Description: Cellvibrionaceae bacterium R142 tRNA-Gln
Rfam family: tRNA
About the family: Transfer RNA (tRNA) molecules are approximately 80 nucleotides in length. Their secondary structure includes four short double-helical elements and three loops (D, anti-codon, and T loops).
Source: RNAcentral
AGCAGUGUGGUGUAACUGGCAACACACGUGACUUUGACUCACAUAUUUCAGCGGGGCGGCCCGUGCCGUUCAAAUCCUGGCGCUGCUGCCA